RNAcentral lists this ribosomal RNA (228 nucleotides) under uncultured bacterium. Its description in RNAcentral is "partial 16S ribosomal RNA". It matches the Rfam family "Bacterial small subunit ribosomal RNA", at positions 568 to 795 of the family's 1533-position model. The record is from RNAcentral.
UACGUAGGCGGAAAAUUAAGUCAGUAGUGAAAUCCCGCAGCUUAACUGUGGAACUGUUAUUGAUACUGGUUUUCUUGAAUUUAGUUGAGGUAGGCGGAAUGUGUAAUGUAGCGGUGAAAUGCUUAGAUAUUACACAGAACACCGAUUGCGAAGGCAGCUUACUAAGCUAUGAUUGACGCUGAGGUACGAAAGCGUGGGGAGCGAACAGGAUUAGAUACCCUGGUAGUC